AUGAUUGUGUGUUUUCUCUCAGCUAGGAUGAUGGCUCAGUUCAAGGAUGAUUGGAGGAGAGAACAGUUCCAGAAUGGUGAGUCUGUGCUGGUCCAACAGAGGCCCUGCUCAUUGUGGGGGAGUGUCAGGGGAGGACGGGUGCAGGGGAGCUUCGCAAAAGGGAGACCCUCUGGCCCAAGCCUACUGACCUUUCCCAGAAACGUGAUGACCACUUUUCUUUGCACUAACUCUGACUCUGGAUGCAGCCAGAUAUGAUGGCAAGUCCCAUUGAUAGUUUUCACAUCAUUGUAUUUUUGGCAUGCUCCAUCUGUUUCUUUACCACGUGUCUUUGAUGCUCAGUGAUCAACUUUCUCAACACCAACCUACACAUAUAAACUUAUGUGUAAACGCCCCCUACAUGUAUACCGUGACAUCUUAAGGUUUUCAUUUCGUUGUUAUUUCAACUGACAUUUAUCAUCCUCGCAUGUUAUUCCUUGGAUUUUUCGUAUCCUUGCUUCUCAAGCAGAAAAUUCCUUUUCACCAAAUAUAGCCUAAUAAUAAUUAACUUGUAAAAUUUUGCUGAUUUCAAGUUUCUUUGUCCAAAAUAUUUUCUGUCAUUUGACUGAGAAGCCCAUUCACUGCGAAUUAAUUUUAUGUCUUUUCCUUUCAUCUGACGUUGUGAAAGUAAACGUCAUCGAGGUAACGUUAAUGAUCAAACUCCCAUAAGAUACAGUUACGCAGUAGUCGGCGGACAGAAUGCUGUGACCAGAGGCCCCGUCACCCUGACCUGACCUGACCUGACCUGCGUGUCCUGUAAAAGCGCUAGUUCAGGAUUCUUUAAUUCAGGGUCUCGUGGCUUUAUCGAGCAAAGCCACCACGGUAGGGACAUUGAGGCUAUUUACUAAGCACAAGUCACACAACUUAUACCCAUAGAAACGUGAGGAAGGACAGACCAAAUAUUUUCAAAAGGAAUCAUGAACAGAUUUAUCAGGUUCAUUACCAGCAAUAAAGUUCUCCUUUUCUCAAUUGAAAACA
RNAcentral lists this long non-coding RNA (1014 nucleotides) under Sus scrofa (pig). RNAcentral's name for it is "lncRNA (ENSSSCG00070002076.1)". Lineage: Eukaryota; Metazoa; Chordata; Mammalia; Artiodactyla; Suidae. The record is from RNAcentral.